This 1264-nucleotide long non-coding RNA is filed under the name Helianthus tuberosus. Its description in RNAcentral is "tasiARF". The record is from RNAcentral. Lineage: Eukaryota; Viridiplantae; Streptophyta; Magnoliopsida; Asterales; Asteraceae.
UCUCUCUCUCUCUCUCUCUAAAUCCCAUCUUUCUCUCUCUCUAGUUCUGGCUGCAGGUUUCAUGGCUCUGGCCGACGUACUUGGAACACCCGCAGGGAGAAGAUAUGAAGUUUCAAAUUCUAUGAAUGUUGACGCGGAUCAUGGCGGUGCCUUUGGCAUAGUCAUGAAGGGUAUAGAGGAUGAGAAGGGGGAGAAGAAGAAGGCGGUGCUUGUUUGUUGUUGAUGAAUUUGGUGCUAUCCUUACCUGAGCUUUUACCAUGAUCUUUCUUUCUUUAUUUCGUCAUUUCAUUUCUUUAUUGUAUUUUUUGAUUUGUUGCCUUUUUUUCUUUUUGUGAUUCUUAUUUUCUUGACCUUGUAAGACCUUUUCUUGACCUUGUAAGACCCGGUGAUAUGUUAUGUGUCUUUAGCGUUAACUAUCGCCUAGAUCUUAACUCAUCACAUAGUCUUAAAAGGUCAUUCUACUAUUUUCUUCCCUCCCACCCAACCUAGGUUCUCCUUCCUUGUCUAUCCCUUCUGAGCUAUUUCGUCCCGUUACUAAGAGACGCUUAAAGUGUUUGUUCCAACUUGGAUGUAGUUGGUGGAAACAAACCUUAGUUUCUCUUCUUUAUUAGACAAAAAGAGACUAUAAUUCUUCAUCUUCAUCAACAAGUGCAAUGCCGAAUCUUCAAUUUAUGUCAAAAAUGCAUCCUAGCGCAUCUUGGGUUGCGACCACGAUUUGAAAGAGAAAAGAAGAAUGAAGAUUGUAGCAUAUAUAUUCAAGAUCUGUGUCAAAUUCAUCCUUUAUUUAGUUUCUUUUUCAUUAUACAAUGAAAUGUUAUGUUAUAAGGUUCUAUUUAAGUGAAAAAAAUUAAGAUGCCAAUGAUUUUUUGUGUGUAUAUUUUAGUGCUUUCAGCUUACGGUAAUCUAUUUGGUCAGUGCAAGUGAUUCAGUCUCUCUCCAAAACACAAACAACCACACCCACAUGUGUGUGUGGCAGUAAUUAUUCUGGUAGGGCAUCGAUGCUAGAUUGGAUUAUUAGGGCAGAAAUCUCUAGAGGUUCAGUCUUAAGAUAUGUUUGUUUAAAAAUUAACAAGAAUAACACAAUUGUAUUAUAUUAGAAAUAUUUUACUGAUUAUAGUUGGAACAAGCAAUUUACUCCCCUCGUACUUUCUGAUUUUAAUCUCUCUUCGAAUACAUGAAUUCUGAAAAUAAGUUUUAUUUAUCCUUCCACCUUUACAUGAAUAAUACAUAUGUUAUAUAAACUAUAAUAUAUACUUGAAUGGUG